CAUACUAGUGUGAAUAUAUCUAUCUAUACAAGUACAUAGUUAGAAAAAAUACUUCGAAAUCUUGAACAUAAGAUUCUCAGUCUCUAUGAUUUUCCCUAUAUCAAAUUCAGGGAUAGUUCUUGAACAAUGUGUAUUCACAUUUUAAAACGUUCAUAUAAAACAAAUUUUGGACAAACUGAUAGUUUCUAUAUGUGUCAAUGCUGCCCAGGAGCCAUGUUACAUAAUUGCCAAAAAUGUAUACGGCUCUAGUGUAGCCAAUGUUUUGAGUGGGGCCCACAGCUGACCGUAGCAAAAAUAGCAACUGUAGCAAAAAGUGGAAAAGUCGAAAAGCUGGCGAAUGUUGCAUAGUUGUAUAUUUCCUGUUUGUGGUGCAUAAAAUAGUGGGUUCCAAUAUAGCUCUCACUUUUGAGCUCGGCACAUACCACUGCAUAUCAGAGUAAUUUUGUGUAUUGAAACGAAUGGCAACUGUACAGCACCACAGUGGCUAGAAGGCAUGGCCGGUACACUCGAGCACUUCAGCACUUCAGUCACUUAAUUUCGUUGCCUGCGACAAUUGUUUGAGUAGAAGUAAUGCCAAAGAUAGGAUACUCGGCGCAGUGCACUUGUCGGCUUAUGGUUAUUUAUCGACAUUCAAAAGGCUAAGGAGCUCGCAACGCAUUGCGCAACCCAUCUAUGCAUGAUGUUGGCGAUUCUCGAGCGCAUAAAUCUUUAAUUAUAGCAAAAUGCGCCGCGAGAUGCAAAUCAAUAAGAAGUGUGAACAAAUUUAGUGUAAAUUUAUGUCGCCCAACUCGAUUUGGAAUAUAAUCGUCAAAAGCCCAACAAUUGGCAGCUUCUGAUGGCAAUAGUAUUUGAGCCAUUUGUCGUGGCUGCGCACCCAGGAAGUGACUGUUGACUGUAACGGCGGUUUUAGAAAGGAAAAUCUCAACUAACGAUCCCAAACUUCCUGCGCACAUGCAAAGCGAUCGCAAGGUAAUCGCCGCUCCGCUAUCCAAUGCUGGCAACAAAAGAAAUAGCAAUACGGCAAAAUGAAGUAAAGCUUGUCUGUUCGCCGAAAUUUUGCCUUGAGGUCUCCGAUACGCCUUCUCGUUGAAUUGUGCAAUCGAUUAAAAACUGAAAGCUGACCAGUGCUUGUUUUCCAUCUACGAAGCGUGCGUUUAAUUGUGGGCCGCACCUACCGAGCUCAUAGACACAAGAAAACAAACACAAACUCGAUGGCAGGAGAUAUCAUUAUUAAUUUGUAAUGCGAGGUGUGCAAACGCAAUUAGGAAAAAAAAUUAAUUAAAAAUAUAAAGCCAUUGGCAAAAUACUUGAAAUUCAGCAACAAAUUGUAUCAAUUGCAGAACUGAAAACGUUUUUAAUUUAACAAUUAAUAAGUGUAUUUAUAAAGUUAGCACUCGGAAAUGCAGACCGAGUAGAAAUAAGUUAAUAAGCUAAUGACCUCAAUAGCAGACUUAAUGCCCGGAAGUAGUAAAGCCACAUAAAUUCCUGUCAAUCGACAGAAAAGCGUAUCAAUAGAUAUUAUGUAGCCGCUAUACAAAUUGUCUAAGUAUUUGUCAGGUUGCCUUUUUAUGUGCUGUAUAGUACUUCAACUUUCAAUAAAAGUCGCGUAAUGUGUUGCUCUUAUUUUUGAACAAGUAGAGCAGCAAAAGCGAAGAAAUCGACAAGCGUUGAACAAACCCACAAAAAAAAAAAAAAAAAAAAAAAAAAAAAAAAAAAAAAAUAAAGCCAAUCAGGCUUAUGGCCGAAUUACUGUGCAUUGCAUAACACAACCCAGCCAUGCUCUUAGCAACUAGCUAAGCAAAUCCACGUACACAUUUUGUUUAGUGGAGCAGAAAGUACAAACGGCAACAAUGAAUCGGCAAAUGUGUUACCAAGUGUGUUGUAGCUGGAGCUGGCUGCCUGAUUGGCUGGCUGGCGGCUGGCUGGCCAAGACAAAUGUCAUCCUAGGCUACGACGACACUAGACUUUUGCAUUGGCACGUGAUUAGCUUACUUUUGCAGCUGGCACUGGUGGCCAUAGCGCAUAUAUCACUCAGUCAAAGAGUGGGUCAGACGGGACUGAAAGCAACGACGCUUUUGUGUGAUAAUUAUACAAGCUAUGGUGCGUGCUGCAUGCUAAGCAGAUCUUAUCCAGCAGCCUUGACAUGAUUGCUCAUGUGACGUCCAUUAGAAAAACAUGUAUGUGCAAGCAAAAUAGAAUGCGCACUUGAGAGCGCACAACGUAAACAAACCCUGCAGAGCUUUCGCACAUCCUCAUUUGUUAUUCGAAACAAUGCCUCGCAUCAGCUGACCGAAAUGGGAUCAACAAUACUUUGCAUUUAUAGGGUCGGCCUCAUCGGUCAUCGGUCCCAUCCCCUUGCAAUACUUCGAUAAGCCAAUUUUCUUUAUUUUCAAUUGGGCAUCAGAAGAGUAGGUAUAUUGAACUAGUUGCAUAUAGAAGCAUAUUAUUAUUGGUCAACAGUAAUUAACAAUUCAUCUACAGUCAAUUGAAGUAAUGACGAAAAGCCAACCGCCAAAGGCCUUAUCUGGCGUAGAAACUGUUAUUGGGAACAAUGGAAAAGUAAAAAGUGAAUGUAAAUUUGUUUUGGGAAAAGGUGUCUCUAUCAAGCAAAAUAUAUUAUGUUACUCAAAAAAAAUAUAUUUAAGGUGCCUUACGCCGCCUUGUGGCUGGUCAAAAGUGCAGCCCGACUUCACGUUAUUAUAACUUGUUUUUGUUUGAAAAUGCUCACGUUACAAUUAAAGUAUAGCAUAAUAAUGUUUAGUUGCAGUCCGACGCCUGCCUCUGUGUAUGUCUGUGUGUGAGGCAAUUGAGGUGGGUCAAAAAAACGAAUGGGUACAGACUCAAGCCACAGUGUCCCAAAUAAAAGCUAUUAAAUUGGAAAAAAAAAAAA
This is a long non-coding RNA of Drosophila mojavensis, 2890 nucleotides long. RefSeq lists it as uncharacterized. The transcript has 3 exons. Lineage: Eukaryota; Metazoa; Arthropoda; Insecta; Diptera; Drosophilidae. The record is from RefSeq and is a predicted model, not a curated record.